Molecule: ribosomal RNA, 253 nt
Filed under: uncultured bacterium
Lineage: Bacteria
Description: partial 16S ribosomal RNA
Rfam family: Bacterial small subunit ribosomal RNA
Source: RNAcentral
UACGGAGGGUGCAAGCGUUAUCCGGAUUUACUGGGUUUAAAGGGUGCGUAGGUGGGUAAGUAAGUCAGUGGUGAAAUCUCCGGGCUUAACCCGGAAACUGCCAUUGAUACUAUUUAUCUUGAAUACUUUGGAGGUAAGCGGAAUAUGUCAUGUAGCGGUGAAAUGCUUAGAUAUGACAUAGAACACCAAUUGCGAAGGCAGCUUACUACACAGUGACUGACACUGAGGCACGAAAGCGUGGGGAUCAAACAGG